AAAAUCCUCCAUAAAUUAUAAAAUUACUCUAACAACUCACAUACACUGUAAAAAAUCACUUAAUGACCUUUUCUAAUGUAUCGCAUGAUGUAUUUCUACCAAUGUUCAAAUGUUAUUAAGCAAAAAAAAAAGUUGCAUAGUUAACUACAUAUGGAAAGAAUAUGUAUUCCUACCAAUGUUCAAAUGUUACUAGGUAAGAAAUUUAUCUAUUUAUUUUUGUUUUGACUAAAUCUUUUUUCUUUUUUUUGAACGUUUGACUAAAUCUUAUAAAAAAGUAAUGAACAUUACAUUCCUUCUUUAUCUUUGACCAUGACAACUAUUUUGAACGGUUGUAUUAGUAUAUAUGUAAUCAGUCUAAGACUCUAAGUAAUAUACUCAACAAAACGAUUAAGAAGAACAUCAUAAAAAUGGCUAUAACCGUAAAAACUUUAGUCUCAUUUGUUUUAACUAUCUUUUUAUUCAUAUCUUUUAUUGACUGUCGUACAUUAACCGCUGAAACUCUUUCAACUACUUUAAAUUCUCCAGGAUUUGGAAUAGAAGAUGUGUGCUUUGGAGGAUUUUGGCCGUGUAAGGAUGACAUUCUCUUUGGUUGCGUUAGAUAUUGCAAUAAAUAUAAUUACAAAUUUGGACGAUGUACUGACAUCCAAGGAUGUUGUUGUUAUUGAAAAAAAGCGUAUAAGAUGAAAUAAUAUAAUAAAAUGUGUUGUUUGAAAUA
Molecule: long non-coding RNA, 715 nt
Organism: Brassica napus (rape)
Lineage: Eukaryota; Viridiplantae; Streptophyta; Magnoliopsida; Brassicales; Brassicaceae
Exons: 2
Source: RefSeq, a predicted model, not a curated record